UUGUGGUUUGGGUGUGUCCUUAUAUUCUCAUCGAUAUCACACUAGAAUAAAGAAAUGAGGUAAAACACAAACAGUUAAUACCUCAAAGAUAUCAACAAUAUGCUCAGGAUUACAUCCGACAUUUGGGGAUUUCUAUUUAAAGAUGAACACAAUUGGAGCCUUUAAAAACCCCUUACCUAAUUAUCAAACUAUGUAAAAUAUUCAAAUAAUUAAAUUAAAUCCAGCGAUGACCUUUUUAUUCUGAUCUUUUUAUAAGAAACAGAGAGAAACAUGUUCAAGGUGUGAUCUUUAAAGAUGUCUGAAGGACGGUUUGCAGAUGAGUUUUAUUAAAAGCAUUGCAAAGGUCAGAUUUGGAAGAGUUCUACUUUAUAUUUUGAGAGUUAAUCAAGAAUCAUAUUUACUGUGUUUAAAAUCCAGUUUAAAGCAAACUUUAUCAGUAUUUUGUUUCAUUUAAUUAUUCAAAUACAUAAAUACAGUAAGUGGUCGGGCUGGGACGAUUCUCUUGAUUCGAUUCUUCUACGAUUUUUUGGAUUCCGAUUCAAUUUAAAUUGCGAUUCUACGAUAUUCUGUAUUUUCUCGAUCUUUAGUCUGCAUUUUAUACACCAGUAGUACAGCUGAAUGAUUAUGAUUGUCUUCUGACUAUUCCAGGAACCAUGUUUCCCCAAAAAAUACACAUCACAUGUAAGUCAGUUUUAAAGAUUUAAGGUCCUUACACACCGGGAAUGACGCAAAUAUACGACACAAAAUUACAAAAUAUUCGGAGGCAAUGAUGAUGAUGUGAACGCUUGUAUUGACAGUAUACAGGUUCGAAAAAAAAUGUAUGUCCGAAAUAAUCACACGAAAAAAAACACUCCUGGUGUGAAAAGACCUUUAUUCUUAAAUUUGAAAAGAAAAAAAAAAAAGAAAAUUUUGAUAUAAAAAUCGAUUUAAAAAUUGUAAAACAAAAUAUCACGAUACUUAUGUAAAUUGAUUUUUUCUCCCACCCCUACUGGACAAACAGUUUAUUUUAUUUAUCCAGUAUCAUAGAUGUGACUUAAUAUGAACAAUUAAUUAGAAAAAACUCAAUACUUAGUAAAUGAGACAAUAGGAUAUAUCACAACACAAAAUAUCGCGAUACUACGCUGUAUUGAUUUUUUCUCCCACCCCUAGUAAGUAGUUAUUUAUGGUCUCUAUCACCAUGGUUUCUAUCAAAAUGUUAGUUUUUUUUACGCAGACAUUCUUGCAGGUAAACUCGAUAAAUUCUUUUUCUAUGUGGCCUCAGACUUAACCUGAAAAAUACCAAGAAGAUGAAUUUGUUACACUGUUAAAAAUACUGCUGGAGUCGUAUUCAUUAAAUUCUUCACAAUCAUAGAAUUCAAGGAUACGGUGGAGGAAUUCGAGAUCCUCUUCACCUGCCAAAAGUGCAGAAAACAUGAUAUAAUUUUGUCGUUUUGAUGGUUGUUUAUUCGUCUGGUAGUCAGGUUGGACUGAGACGUAUUCAGCUUUACUUUUUAUUGAGAUUGAACCUUGUUGAUAUUAAAGCAGUUCUAGUAAUCUUUUAUUUUGCACCUUAGUUGUCUGUUUAGGUCUGUUUCUUCACUCUGAGGUCAGAUAGUUUAGUUAUUCAGGAGAUAUUUGUGUUAUUCUGGCAUUUACCCUCCCUGAACUUUUCUGUUAUUUAAGCCUGAGUGAAAACAAAUUAAAACACUGUGAACUGCAGACCGGUUUGUGUGGUCCACUAAGGUCACUUUUAUGCUGCGCUCCGCUCUCACGCUUUUUGUACGGUAAACUUACAAACACCUUUAAAAACAUAUUUAAUCUCCUGAGGUGAAAUGAUUUUUUGCGCAGAGCUCGGCUUUGAUUUCGAGUCAUUUUAUUCUGUAUAAAACAGAAAUCUAGAAAAAGUGUUUUUGUGUGGAUGUGAUAAUCAGUCUUAUUACUAAUAGAUGUUGCUUGUUUUUGCAGAAUCCCUUUCCUCACUCUGCAACACAACAAGACAUCAAUCAUUGUGCCAUUGUGUGUAUAUCCAUAAGUGUGGCUGGAUGACAUGACACAGUAUAAACUCAUUAUUCUGCAUGUGUCUGUCGUUUUGUGCACCAUCAGAACAAGAUUAAAAAAAAUGAAGUUAGGGAUUCGGGAUGUGGCUCAUUUUCACCGUGCGAGUGUAUGCUGCCUGUAAAAAUGUCAGAAAUUCAUCGGAGCGGUCUGGAGCAGCUGAUUGGCCGAUGAUUGGCCCUUUCGCCCCCCUGUAAAUCUCACUGUAAAUGACAUGCAAUGGAACUGAAAUACAGUUCGACUUGAAAAUCAGACACCCCGCUCUGAAAUGAGAUCUGAAACAGCCGAGUGUGCCCGGUCUAACAAAGGCUGUGACAUUUUAAAUUACUAUCCCUGUAUCCUUCUAUUAAAACAAUAUCUAACAAAGCUAAACCUAUGUUGUGUGGUAGUGUAGUGGUGGAUUUGGCUCCCUGGCCUGGAGAAGCCUUUCUACGUGGAGCUUGCAUGUUCUUCUCCUUCUGCACACAUGGGCUCUCUCUCUCUCUCUCUCUGCAUUUAGCUCCCUCUCACACUGCUUAUGAAGCUGACUGGUGUCUCUAAAUUGCCCGCAGAUGAGAGUGAGUGUGUAUGGUUGUCUGUCCCAUGUGUGUCAGGUCUGUGAUUGACUCGAGACCUGCAGGGUGCACCCUAUCUCUCGCCCAAUGACAGCUCGGAUCGACACCAGCCCUCCUCGGUGUCAGGGCAGGAUAAGCUGGAUAGAUGAAUUCAUGGAGGCUGUGAUAUCACGUGGAAACGACAUAUUUCUGCAAGUGAUGAUAAGAAGAAUCAUGUUGAAUUGGUCUGACCAGGUUCAAUAGUUUUAAUAUUUUCAGAUUUUCUACCAGGUCUGUGUACAAAACCAGCUUCUUGUUGACUCACAAAUAAAAC
This 2901-nucleotide long non-coding RNA is filed under the name Xyrichtys novacula (pearly razorfish). The record is from RNAcentral. Lineage: Eukaryota; Metazoa; Chordata; Actinopteri; Labriformes; Labridae.